This 467-nucleotide ribosomal RNA is filed under the name uncultured bacterium. RNAcentral's name for it is "partial 16S ribosomal RNA". It matches the Rfam family "Bacterial small subunit ribosomal RNA", at positions 28 to 506 of the family's 1533-position model. The record is from RNAcentral.
GACGAACGCUGGCGGCGUGCUUAACACAUGCAAGUCGAACGGAAAGGCCCUGCUUUUGUGGGGUGCUCGAGUGGCGAACGGGUGAGUAACACGUGAGUAACCUGCCCUUGACUUUGGGAUAACUUCAGGAAACUGGGUCUAAUACCGGAUAGGAGCUCCUGCUGCAUGGUGGGGGUUGGAUAGUUUCGGCGGUUGGGGAUGGACUCGCGGCUUAUCAGCUUGUUGGUGGGGUAGUGUCUGACCAAGGCUUUGACGGGUAGCCGGCCUGAGAGGGUGAACGGCCAGAUAGGGAGGGAGAGAGAGACGAGACAGAUACGGGAGGGAAGAGGGAGGAAGAAAGAACAAAGGGCGGAAGCAAGAUGGAGCAAGGCAGGGUGCGGGAUGAAGGAAUUCGGGUGGGAAGCAGCUUUCGCCUGUGAGGGAGGGUGAGUGAAGGUAAGGGGUAAAGAAGCACGGGUUAACUAGGU